UACGGAGGGUGCAAGCGUUAUCCGGAUUUACUGGGUUUAAAGGGUGCGUAGGUGGGUUUGUAAGUCAGUGGUGAAAUCUCCGAGCUUAACUCGGAAACUGCCAUUGAUACUAUAGAUCUUGAAUCAUCUGGAGGUGAGCGGAAUAUGUCAUGUAGCGGUGAAAUGCUUAGAUAUGACAUAGAACACCAAUUGCGAAGGCAGCUCACUACGGAUGUAUUGACACUGAGGCACGAAAGCGUGGGGAUCAAACAGG
Molecule: ribosomal RNA, 253 nt
Filed under: uncultured bacterium
Lineage: Bacteria
Description: partial 16S ribosomal RNA
Rfam family: Bacterial small subunit ribosomal RNA
Source: RNAcentral